AGCUAUCAUAUUAAACAGGGAAUGACUAAAAUAUUGAAUUAUGACAGAUAGUUCGACCGGUCAGGAUUAAACCGGGGUUUUUGAAUCGGUGUGACAAAUUCGUAAUCCGGAGACGUGCAAUGAAUUUCGCGCCCGGUAGUGUGACAGUCCAGUUUAAUUUUAGUACACUCUCUUCCCCACUAAUCAACAAACCCUAAUUUUCUCGAGAAACCAAAUCCGCCACGAAUCUAGGCAUUCUCCGUCACCAGCAAGAUGAAGGGGGAGGGACGAUACAGAUCAGCUGGCACGAGGGAAGCCUGUGAUAACCCUUGAUUUUCAUCCGAUUUCCGGUUUACUCGCCGCCGCCGGAGCCGAUUACGAUAUCAAGGCUAUGGCUAUUAAACUCUGGUCAGCUUCCUAGUGUAUCUUACCAGAGCAGCCAUGGAUAUGCUGUGAAUACAUUUCGUUUCUCUCGCGCUCUGGAGGCGAGCUUAUCAUACGGAAGUUGUUGCAUCCUAGUGAAACCAAUCAGACAACUAUCCCUUAUAAACAAGUCCUGCUUCGAUCAUCACAUAGUUCAUCCGGAUAUUAAUUAUGUUUCUGAUAUUAUCGCUGAAUUUCAUCUGCAGACUCAUUCAAGCAUUCACCUAUUUCCGAAGCUGUAAAUGCUACUUUUAUGUAUUUUCUAGGAAGGAAAAUAACCAUCUCUUGUUUGCUGUGGAACAUAUUGUAAGCGAGGGCUUAUCCAUGAUAUAAUUAGAAAGCAAUUCAAAGUCAGGAAAGAAACUAGUGGAUGGCGAAGAGAAGAAGCAAUGUUCUAGAGAAACCGGAUGAGCUGAUGACCGAGACAAUACCAGACGAGACAAAGUAAACAGGCUAGCUGAAUCAAAACAAGACGAAGAGAAAGAAAAACCAUUUCCCAGUGAGCGCGUCUACGUCUAAGAUAACAUCUCUUGUUUGGAACAUAUUGUAAGCUGUCUACGUUUUUUUUUCUAAAAGCUGAGCCAAAUGAACAUUUCAAUUGUUUGAGCUUAUGAAUACUUACUCUUGUUCGGAACUCAAUUUGAAGAUGAUACACUUGUUUCAGCUUCUUUUAAGAUAGAAAUCAAGGCCUUUGAGAUGUAA
Raphanus sativus (radish) is the source of this 1104-nucleotide long non-coding RNA. RefSeq lists it as uncharacterized. The record is from RefSeq and is a predicted model, not a curated record. The transcript is spliced from 4 exons. Lineage: Eukaryota; Viridiplantae; Streptophyta; Magnoliopsida; Brassicales; Brassicaceae.